GUAGUCCACGCCGUAAACGAUGGAUACUAGCUGUUCGGCAGCAAUGCUGAGUGGCUAAGCGAAAGUGAUAAGUAUCCCACCUGGGGAGUACGAACGCAAGUUUGAAACUCAAAGGAAUUGACGGGGGCCCGCACAAGCGGUGGAGCAUGUGGUUUAAUUCGAUGAUACGCGAGGAACCUUACCAGGGCUUAAAUGUAGGUUGACAGGACUGGAAACAGUUUUUCCUUCGGGCAACUUACAAGGUGCUGCAUGGUUGUCGUCAGCUCGUGCCGUGAGGUGUCAGGUUAAGUCCUAUAACGAGCGCAACCCCUGUUGUUAGUUGCCAGCGAGUCAAGUCGGGAACUCUAACA
This 350-nucleotide ribosomal RNA is filed under the name uncultured Flavobacterium sp. Its description in RNAcentral is "bacterial SSU rRNA". It matches the Rfam family "Bacterial small subunit ribosomal RNA", at positions 790 to 1145 of the family's 1533-position model. Lineage: Bacteria; Pseudomonadati; Bacteroidota; Flavobacteriia; Flavobacteriales; Flavobacteriaceae. The record is from RNAcentral.